RNAcentral lists this long non-coding RNA (4777 nucleotides) under Sus scrofa (pig). RNAcentral describes it as "lncRNA (ENSSSCG00055003282.1)". The record is from RNAcentral. Lineage: Eukaryota; Metazoa; Chordata; Mammalia; Artiodactyla; Suidae.
UUUUUUUUUUUUUUUUUGCCUUUACUAGGGCCCCUCCUCCUGGGAACCUCCAUAUGCCUCGGGUGUGGCCCCAGAAAAGACAAAAAAUAAAAAUUAAAAAAAUACAUACAUAAAAAAAGAAAGAAAAAGUUGUCCAGCCUUCACCACUGUCUGUGACAGAACAUGUCACGCCCCAGAAAGCACCCCCACCCAUUAGCAGUCACUUCUUUCNCCCCCCCCCCCCCCGCCCCCGCCCCAAGUCACUAAUCUAUUUUCUGUCUCUCUGGCUUUGCCUCUUCUGGACACGAUGUAAAUGGAAUCAUACAGUGUGUGGCCUUUUGUGCCUGGCUCAUGUCACCUGUUUUCAAAGUUUAGACUCGUGCAGCAAGUGUCGGUACUUCAGUUCUUUUCUGUUUUUGCUUUUGUGGGCCACACUGUGGCAUGUGGGAGUUCCCGGCCUGCAUCACAGCCACAGCAACGCCGGGUCCUUAACCCACCAAGACCGGAGAUUGGAGCCCCGUCCCCAUGGAAGCUAGCCGUGGACAUUUGGGCCACUUCCGCUUUGUGCUACUGUGAAUCCUCGUUCACGUGGCUUUGCAUGGACACGUGUUUUCUGUUUUCUUGGGUCCAUACCUGGGAGUGGGAUUGCUGGCUCAGGUGUCCUUCUUUAAACUUACUGAGGAUCAGGGAGCCCGUUGUACCCGCCCAGCUGCAGUGCUGCAGGGUUCCAGUGCCCAUUUGCUCCCUGGCACUCACGCAGCCCUGUCUGAGGAUGUGUUUCUGUUACUUAUGUGUAACUCCAUCACCGAAUACGAGCCAUGUGUGCUCAGUGGCAAAUGAGACUGGCACGUGCACUGGUACAUAGUUGACCUCUAAGAAUGGGCUUUUUGUGUUUGUUUUUUUUUUUCCCUUUUUGGCCUCCCACAGAAUGGGGAAGUUCCUGGGCCGGGGAUCAGACCUGAGCCACAGCAAUGAGAAUACCAGAUCCAUAACUGCUAGGCCACCAGGGAACUCCAGGCUUUCUGUGUUUUCAAUGCUUUGUUCUUUGAGAAAAGUCACCAUAAAAGUAUGUGGUAUUGGCUGUUACCAUUUCUGAAUGUAUGAAAACCAUUAGGGUGUGGUUAGAGGAGCCUUUCCCUUUUUCAUUCUUUUUUUUUUUUUCUUAAAUUAUAGUUGAUUUACAGUGUUGUGCCAGUGUCUGCCAUUGUGAGUCAGUUAUACAUAUGCAUACAUUCUUAUUUUUUAUAUUGUUUUUCAUCCUGGUCUGUCCCAGGAGAGUGGAGAUAGUUCCCUGAGCUGUACAGCAGGACCCCAUUGCUUAUCUGUUCUGAAUAAUUUGCGUCUGUUAAUCCCAGACUCCCCGUCCAUCCCACUCCCCCUUGGCAGCUACACGUCUGUUCUCUGUGUCUCUGAGUCUGUCUCUCUCUCGUAGGGAGGCUCAUUUCCGCAUGUAAGUGAUGGAAAUGGGAUUUGUCUUUCUCUCUCUGACUUGGUGCUGCUCUCUGGUUAGGCAGUGAGGUCUUUUCUUGGUGGAGCACAGCAGACGCACUUGUGUCCCCUGCCUUGGGCCAAGUAGAAGGCACUUUUGCAGCUAGGGUAGGAGUCGGGGUCCUGCGUAGGCCUGGCUUAUGAGGGUCCCAAGCUGUGCCGAGACGGGGGACCUGCCCAUGGGAACGCGGGCGCCAGCCCUUCAGCUCUGGGAGGUGGGUUCACUCUGACGCAACAACGAGACUGAGCUGAUGAUGUUAGGAAACGAAGGAGAAGGGAAUCGUUGCUGAGUGGACGUAACGAAACGAGGUGAAGGCUAAGUGGCCUCUCACUAGAAACUGCUUUCUGCUCCGGAGAAUAGGGACGGGGGUGACCCUCGGGUUUUUAAUCCAGCCCGGAACUCUUGUUUUGAAGUCCUAAAUCUCGUUUAACUGUAACCCUAGGAUAAGAGAAAACAUGGAUGACCGCCCCGAGAUUGGACCCCCAGCCCCCGCGUGCACCUGAACUUGAGAUGAGGCAGCCCCGGCGUCUCUCCUUCCAGGUCCGUCGGCGCCCGCCAUGCUUCCCGGGCCUUUGUCUUCCCUCCUCCUGGUCGGCCGUGGUUCCCGAGCUUGGACGCUGGUUCAGAGCCCAGUGAAACAUCUGCCUCCCUGCCCUUUGCCCUGAGGAGGCGGCGAGAUGGCUUCCGCCUGCGGUUCCUCUCGGCAGGACCCCGUGUGCUGACGGCCUCCCCGGAGCCAGCGGCACUUGAGAGGGGCCUUAGGAAGGGAAAGGAAAACGAGUCCUCUUUUCUGGUGAUUCCAGACGGAAAACGUCCGCCUUUUCAAAGUGUGUCGUCUUAAAAAUGGUUUAAUACCAUCAAAGGAGACCCGGCCACAGACACGAGCUCCGUUUCUCCCUUUUGCUGUUUCCGCCCUUUUUUUUUUUUUUUUAAGGGGUAAUAAUGUUUUCUAUUAUUUUUGUUCAUUUAUACCUCAAGUUUUAUAGGAUUGCGCACACUAUGUGGUAUUUCUGGUGGAAUUGUGACAAUGCCAUAUUGUCAUCCUCAUGGUUCUCAAAGCUAUUCAUUUAUUUUUUGGCUUUUUCGGGCCACAUCUGCGGCAUAUGGAGGUUCCCAGGCUAGGGGUGGAAUCAGAGCUACAGCUGCCAGUCUACACCACAGCCACAGCAACGCCAGGUCCGAGCCGCAUCUGCAACCUACAGCACAGUUCACGGCAAUGCUGGAUCCUUAACCCACUGAGGGAGGCCAGGGAUCGAACCUGCGUCCUCAUGGAUGCUAGUGGUAUUCGUUUCCUCUGAGCCACAACGGGACUCCAGCAGGGGACAUGUUCUUCUCUUCCAUGGAACCCAGGCUGCCCCACCCUGUUUGUGAUUUAAAGGCCCAGGAGUUUUCGUUUCUGACCAGGUGGGGCUGUGGACUGUUUUCAGACCCCUCAGAGGAGUUCUUCUCUGUGAGCUCACAACAAAAUUGUGAAUUCUCAAUAUUUUUUUAUUUAAGACCUGCUCAUUGAUUCUACUCCAGUAAAUUAUUGUUUCUAACUAAAACCUCUGUUGUUUUAGAACAUACUAUAGAUUAUCAUUUUCUGAUUUCUAACAAAGAAUUUGUUUUUUCAGGUCAUGUCAUCUUGUGGGAGAAGCUAUUUCAAUGAGCCGGGAGAAGCAAACCAGGACAUUGCUGUUAUCUGCGGAUACGUGGGCAUCGCGAGUCCUUGAUUCAGGUGGGUUUGUCUGCACUGCGCCCCUGCCCCCAGGCACUCCUGCUGGCCGGCUUUGGCAAAUGUGAGGGUUGCGCAACAGCCAGCACACCUCUGUGUGAACAGCAGCCCCUCCGAGUGGGAGCCACGGGAGGGUUUUUCCCCUCUCAUUUUUGUUCAGUCCCCAAGAUAGGCAGCUCCUCACUCCUAAGAAGCCUGCCUUUACUCAAGUGAGAAAAACCAUGUUUUUCCUAACAUAUUUCUCAGCCCACGAAAAGCAGAUUUUGGGGGACGAUACAGAUGCAGGCAGUUGCUUGGAGCGUCUUCUUCCACAUGAAACGGAUGCCAAAUAGUGGGUUUCAGUUUCGUGCCAGGUCGUCCCCCUGGGGCUCAGGAUGCUAUCGCCCAGUUUUGCUCUGAUUUGGUCCUGGGACAGAAUUGGGAGCCCUGGCCCUCAUUCCCACCCCGAAGCCCGCGUGUGUGGCUCUCCGGCGCCUGGAGGGAGGGACGCCCCAGGUUGGGUUGGAGCGGUUCGCGCCCUGCAAGUCAGCAGCGGGCAGAGGCACGGGGACAUCUGCACACGUCCACGUUCAUCUUCGGUCCCUUGAGGCCUGGCACCUAAAGGAACCAGCGUGGCCACUGGCACGGGUUACAGCCCUGUCCCAGGAACUUAAGCACGCUGCCGGUGCAGCCAAGAAAUAGUUUUGAGAAGGUUCCGACUUGGGAGUUGAGUGUAUGAAGUUGAGUAACUUUAUUCCUGGACUAAACCCCGCCUGCCCAUCCGGUUGUGGGUCCGCAGUUAGUCAGCGACACCAGGUGCUGCUUUGCAGUUGUGCGUGUGAGGGUGAGAGCAGGGCUUCCCCUGCAGCCGGGACGGUUCGUGGAUCCGCCUGGACUGGGGUGCUUCCGUGCCCUGGAGAGCCCCGCUGUGCGCGGGGUCCUCACCCGGUGUGCCCUGGAGGCGAGUAACGGAGCCGGGAUGACUGGUAAUCAAGUCAAGACUGAAGUACGAGGUGUGUCCGAAUCGCUUCUCUCCGAGCCUUGUGCUCGUGAGACUGGUCCCGGCCCAGAGGAGGAGGCUCAGUGGCGUGUUGUCUGCGGCAAGGCCCUGACCUCCACACGGAGGCUGCUUGGGUCACUCGCCUGCCUCAUCUUGGGGGAGCCUCGGUGGGUUUAAGUCCUCUUCAUCCCGAAGAGGCCCGACACGCCAGAAUGAAACCCCUGCCCCCUGAGGGCGCUCCCCACCCCCACUCCCGGCUGCAGAGGCGGUGGGUUCAGGUGAGACCGGCUGGUAGCUGCAGUCUGUGUCCCUUGUAGAGAACCACUGAGAGCUGACAAGCACAUAGCGGGGCACAAAAUUCUGGUGGAAGUCAAUGCGGGUCCUUGAAAUUCGCAAGCUCACUUUUGCAGGUCCCAUUGUGGCUGAGCAGUAACGAACCUGACUAGUAUCCUUGAGGACGCAGGACGCAGGUUCAAUCCCUGCCCUUGCCCAGUGGGCUAAGGAUCCUGUGUUGCUGUGGCUAUGGUGGAGGCCGGCAGCUAUAACCCUGAAUAGACCCCUAGCCCGGGAACUUCCAUAUGCUGCAGGUGUGGCCAUAAAAAAGACCAAAAAAAAA